Lates calcarifer (barramundi perch) is the source of this 285-nucleotide long non-coding RNA. RefSeq lists it as uncharacterized. The record is from RefSeq and is a predicted model, not a curated record. The transcript is spliced from 3 exons. Lineage: Eukaryota; Metazoa; Chordata; Actinopteri; Centropomidae.
UGCUGUGAGAGCAGAGAUCUGAUCGUGGGCAUCGGGAUGAGAGCAAACAGGAACAACCUGUUAAACCACAAGGCCACAUGUGAAAGACAGUGAGGGUUUUUUUUUUACUCUGGGAAAACACAGUCUGUCAACAUCAACAACACUAUGACUGACUAUGCCUGGCUUUCUAUUCACAGGUCAUGCUACAUGAUGGAUUGUCUGUUGGUCCAUCACAAACUGUGCCUCACGCCAAGAUGCUCAGUCUUACCGAGGUAGAACAUGUAGGUUGCUGUGACGAAGGACAUG